Non-coding RNA from Podarcis lilfordi (Lilford's wall lizard), 74 nucleotides. The record is from the annotation of a GenBank genome assembly. NCBI's taxonomy places the organism in Eukaryota, Metazoa, Chordata, Lepidosauria, Squamata, Lacertidae.
ACCUGGGAUAGCUCAGUCAGUAGAGCAUGAGACUCUUAAUCUCAGGGUUGUGGGAUCAGGCUCCAUGUUAGGCA